AGCCUAGAUGCCCAUCAUAAUGGAAUCUAACUGGUUUUCCUGCUCAGGGCCCAAGUCGGAGAUCUCUAGCUUCAGUACAGAUACAGAGAGACUUAGAGAGGGAUCAAGACGAGUACCUGGAAGGCGAGUGCCAGCUGGAAUCAGGAGGAGAACCCGGAUGACCAGUCCUGUCCAGGUGCAGUAAGAGGAGAAACAAGGAACCCUUGAGUGUUUGAAGAAAAACAAAGGUCCAAGGGACAUGGAAUCAGUUGUUUAAGAAAAACAUGAGCUUCCCUCAUGAGAUGUUUUAAGAUCAGUAUUGUUGGAACUUGGUGUAAACCAAGCGUAGAGACAAACGCAAUGUUGAUCAUCAGUAUUUGUUGUUUUUACCAGAGAGGGAAUCAUUUGUGUUAAAAUAUAUCUGGUCAAAACAGGGAUGUUAAAAGGUCCCUCUGUAUGUAAGUAUCUUUUAAAGAAUAUUUUGUAGAGGGUUGCAUUAGAAACAACAGACUAUUGCAGAAAACUCACUUAGGAUCACAUGCGAUGUGGGAAAGGAAGAAACAAACCAAAGGAUGAACUUAAUUGUAUUUCUAAAAAGUGUGUGCAUGUGAAACACCUGUGAGUUUACUGCAACAGUUCUGUUUGGGGGAAUAUCUAUCUGUGUCCAGGUUUUGUUGGAUUGAGGUUUACUUCUGCAUGGCCAACGAUUUUAUGGUGCUCAUGUUCAGUAUUGUUUUUUUUCCAUUAAAGAAUAAAAUUGUUUGCAACAUUUUGAUAAU
This is a long non-coding RNA of Electrophorus electricus (electric eel), 758 nucleotides long. The record is from Ensembl. NCBI's taxonomy places the organism in Eukaryota, Metazoa, Chordata, Actinopteri, Gymnotiformes, Gymnotidae.